Molecule: ribosomal RNA, 605 nt
Filed under: Arachnomyces sp. A1
Lineage: Eukaryota; Fungi; Ascomycota; Eurotiomycetes; Onygenales; Arachnomycetaceae
Description: eukaryotic LSU rRNA
Rfam family: 5.8S ribosomal RNA (bases 242-395)
Source: RNAcentral
CGUAACAAGGUUUCCGUAGGUGAACCUGCGGAAGGAUCAUUACCGAGUCGAGGCGGGCGGCGACCUCCGGGUUUCGCCGCCUGCGCACCUCACCACCCGUGUCUACCGUACCCCGUUGCUUCGGCGGGCCCGCCGCUCAGUCGGCCGCCGGGGGACCUCAGGUCCCCGGGCCCGUGCCCGCCGGAGACCCCUCGAACACUGCCUGAAGGUUGCUGUCUGAGUUAACAAAACAAACAAACAAAACUUUCAACAACGGAUCUCUUGGUUCCGGCAUCGAUGAAGAACGCAGCGAAAUGCGAUAAGUAAUGUGAAUUGCAGAAUUCAGUGAAUCAUCGAAUCUUUGAACGCACAUUGCGCCCCCUGGUAUUCCGGGGGGCAUGCCUGUCCGAGCGUCAUUACUGCCCUCAAGCGCGGCUUGUGUGUUGGGCCUCGUCCCCCUUCCCGGGGACGGGCCCGAAAGGCAGUGGCGGCGCCGUGCCCGGUCCUCGAGCGUAUGGGGCUCUGUCACCCGCUCUGGAGGCCCGGCCGGCUGCCGCCGACCAACCCCCAACCUUUUAACCGGUUGACCUCGGAUCAGACAGGGAUACCCGCUGAACUUAAGCAUA